RNAcentral lists this long non-coding RNA (335 nucleotides) under Homo sapiens (human). Its description in RNAcentral is "HSALNT0193434". Lineage: Eukaryota; Metazoa; Chordata; Mammalia; Primates; Hominidae. The record is from RNAcentral.
AAAUAGGUUCAUCACUGUGAAGAUUUCUGGACAUUCUGCCACCACCUUGGUCUACAAGUGGCAUUCCCAAAGCCUGAAGCUAUCUUUGGCACCUGUAAAACGCCAGCCUUUCCCUCCAUGCCUACCCAAAGUGGCACAUCACAGACUUCUUGAGCUUAGAACACUAGACAACACAUCAGUAUUGCACUUGCAGCUCAUUUUAAACAGCAUCACCAACAACAGCACAGAAAUGCAAGAAACACGCCACUAAACAGACCACAAAGAGACACGUUUACAGUAUCCCUGAAACAAGAAGAGCGUAGGCUUGUUCGACCUCAGCUGGGAACAUUCACAAG